This 253-nucleotide ribosomal RNA is filed under the name uncultured bacterium. Its description in RNAcentral is "partial 16S ribosomal RNA". It matches the Rfam family "Bacterial small subunit ribosomal RNA", at positions 524 to 776 of the family's 1533-position model. The record is from RNAcentral.
UACGUAGGGUGCGAGCGUUAAUCGGAGUUACUGGGCGUAAAGAGUGCGUAGGCGGUUCUUUGUGUCCGCUGUGAAAGCCCCGGGCUUAACCUGGGAAUGGCAGUGGAAACUAGAGAACUUGAAUCUGGCAGAGGGGGGUGGAAUGCCACGUGUAGCAGUGAAAUGCGUAGAUAUGUGGCGGAACACCGAUGGCGAAGGCAGCCCCCUGGGCUGAGAUUGACGCUCAGGCACGAAAGCGUGGGGAGCAAACAGG